GUUGUUUGCUGCCAGUAGCUGUGGAGAACACCAUCUGGCUGUUGCUCAAAGUACCAUCUUGGAGGAUAUAUUACUUUGUAGAUUUCCUGUCCUGAACUGUUGUGUGGUUGACUCUUCAGCGUCGAACUACAGCUGCAUUUCAUCCAACAGGCAUCUUCAGUCCAGAGAUCCCAGUUGUGGCAGGCAAGAACCAGAGGAACGGGCGGUACCCCGCUAACCCGAUAACGCUGCCUUUCAAAAAACAAGGUCUUUCUUUGGACUCUCUUCAGUUUAUGUUGUGGAGCCCCC
Long non-coding RNA from Alligator sinensis (Chinese alligator), 288 nucleotides. RefSeq lists it as uncharacterized. The record is from RefSeq and is a predicted model, not a curated record. The transcript is spliced from 4 exons. NCBI's taxonomy places the organism in Eukaryota, Metazoa, Chordata, Crocodylia, Alligatoridae.